RNAcentral lists this ribosomal RNA (277 nucleotides) under uncultured bacterium. Its description in RNAcentral is "partial 16S ribosomal RNA". It matches the Rfam family "Bacterial small subunit ribosomal RNA", at positions 594 to 869 of the family's 1533-position model. The record is from RNAcentral.
GUGAAUCCCUUGGCUCAACCAAGGAAGGGCAUUUGAAACUGUCUGGCUUGAGUACGGGAGGGGGAAGUGGAAUUCCCGGUGUAGAGGUGAAAUUCGUAGAUAUCGGGAGGAACACCGGUGGCGAAGGCGGCUUCCUGGACCGAUACUGACGCUGAGACGCGAAAGCGUGGGGAGCAAACAGGAUUAGAUACCCUGGUAGUCCACGCCCUAAACGUUGGGCACUAGGUGUUGCGGGUAUUGACCCCUGCAGUGCCAAGGGCGAAUUCCACAGUGGAUA